AAGAAACAACAGCCAGGGAGGCAGGAGGAAAACCGGGAGGACUGGCAUCACUGAAGCCAGAAGAGAGUUUCCAGAAGGAAGUGGGUCAGUGGAGCCAGAGGCUCCCGGGGGAUCUAGCAAGAACAGGAUUAGGAAGUAGGAGCCACAUUUAGCAACCAAAAGGUCACUGUUGACUGUGGCAAUGGAGCGGUGGGGGCACGCUGGCAGGCAGGGUUCCACGGUGAGUGGGAGGAGAGGAAGUGCCAGCAAAGUGAGAGCCUCUCCCCGACUGCUCCUUCACCCAGACUGCCGCUGGGUCAAGGGGCCUUGUGGGAAGUCCGGGGAGGAAGGAGAAGUGGGAGACCAGACGGUCCAGGUUAAGGACUGGUGCCAUCAUUCCCAGUACAAUGCCAGCUCCAUGAAGACAAGGGCCUUGCCGGUACCGGCCGUGGCUGUAUUUCCCCCACAUACAAACAGGGCAAGUGCUCAGAAAUGUCCAAGAAACCGAAUGAAGGAAAAAAGGAAGGAAAAGAGGAUUCGGCCUCGGUUUUGCCUCUUCCGUAAAUCCCAAGGCAAGGUUCUGAACAAAUAAAACUCAACUCUCCCCACUCCAGACACCCCCCUUCUUCCAUCACUUAUUGGGGGCCUACCAGGCUCUGGACACCGUAGCACACGUUUUAUAAGCAUUAACCUGCCUAUAACCCUCACAUCAGCCCUACCAGGUGCUCUGGGUUAGGACUAGUUCCACCUCCCCCACAAGAAAGGUGAGGCUUAGAGAGAUGGAGGGCCUUGCCUGGCAUCCCACUGAGGACGCGGAAAGCUGAGAUUUAAACCCAGGUCUGUCUUGCCCAUCACACUCAGCUGACUGCCAUUCAGAAGGUGGUAUCCUAGCUAACUGAGGACGGCCCAAAGCAGAAUAAGGGCCCUCUUCCCCCCUCCACUAAGUCUAACCGCUCUGCCUCUACUAAUGAGGCCAAAGCAUGCUGGCUCACAGCCCCAUAUGGGGGAGAAAAGGAAGAAAAGCUCCCGCGCCCGAAGGGGACCUGCACUCACCGGUCUGGAUGAGGCCAGAGCUGCUGUCUCCGAUGCUGAAGAACUGCUCAAUGUCCGGAAGGACGCCUGGGAAGAAGACUCGGGAUGGGCUCGGCGAGGCAGCCGUGGCUCCAGAGCCUCCCCAGCCCCGUGCCCUAGUGGGACGCCCUCCCCGAAGUCAGUACCCGCCA
Long non-coding RNA from Mustela lutreola (European mink), 1202 nucleotides. RefSeq lists it as uncharacterized. The transcript is spliced from 3 exons. Lineage: Eukaryota; Metazoa; Chordata; Mammalia; Carnivora; Mustelidae. The record is from RefSeq and is a predicted model, not a curated record.